Molecule: ribosomal RNA, 490 nt
Filed under: uncultured bacterium
Lineage: Bacteria
Description: partial 16S ribosomal RNA
Rfam family: Bacterial small subunit ribosomal RNA
Source: RNAcentral
AUUGAACGCUGGCUGCAGGCCUAACACAUGCAAGUCGAACGGUAACAGGAAGAAGCUUGCUUCUUUGCUGACGAGUGGCGGACGGGUGAGUAAUGUCUGGGAAACUGCCUGAUGGAGGGGGAUAACUACUGGAAACGGUAGCUAAUACCGCAUAACGUCGCAAAACCAAAGAGGGGGACCUUCGGGCCUCUUGCCAUCGGAUGUGCCCAGAUGGGAUUAGCUAGUAGGUGGGGUAACGGCUCACCUAGGCGACGAUCCCUAGCUGGUCUGAGAGGAUGACCAGCCACACUGGAACUGAGACACGGUCCAGACUCCUACGGGAGGCAGCAGUGGGGAAUAUUGCACAAUGGGCGCAGGCCUGAUGCAGCCAUGCCGCGUGUAUGAAGAAGGCCUUCGGGUUGUAAAGUACUUUCAGCGGGGAGGAAGGGAGUAAAGUUAAUACCUUUGCUCAUUGACGUUACCCGCAGAAGAAGCACCGGCUAACUCCGUG